UUGACCUCUGAUCAGUAGAUACCCGCC
This 27-nucleotide ribosomal RNA is filed under the name Diaporthe caulivora. RNAcentral describes it as "partial large subunit ribosomal RNA". Lineage: Eukaryota; Fungi; Ascomycota; Sordariomycetes; Diaporthales; Diaporthaceae. The record is from RNAcentral.